This 169-nucleotide ribosomal RNA is filed under the name Lepomis gibbosus (pumpkinseed sunfish). RNAcentral's name for it is "partial small subunit ribosomal RNA". The record is from RNAcentral. Lineage: Eukaryota; Metazoa; Chordata; Actinopteri; Centrarchiformes; Centrarchidae. RNAcentral also lists the same sequence under 1 other name.
CACCGCGGUUAUACGAGAGGCUCAAGUUGAUAAACCCCGGCGUAAAGAGUGGUUAAGGAAGAUUAAAAACUAAAGCCGAAUGCUUUCAAAGCUGUUAUACGCUUCCGAGAGUAAGAAGAUCAACUACGAAAGUGACUUUAUAGCCCCUGACCCCACGAAAGCUAUGGCA